RNAcentral lists this ribosomal RNA (442 nucleotides) under uncultured Caldilineaceae bacterium. RNAcentral's name for it is "bacterial SSU rRNA". It matches the Rfam family "Bacterial small subunit ribosomal RNA", at positions 924 to 1382 of the family's 1533-position model. The record is from RNAcentral. Lineage: Bacteria; Bacillati; Chloroflexota; Caldilineae; Caldilineales; Caldilineaceae.
CACAAGCAGCGGAGCGUGUGGUUAAUUCGAUGUUACACGAAGAACCUUACCAGGGUUGACAUGCAAGUAUCGGCAGGCGCGAAAGCGUCGGCCACCUCGGGAGGCUUGCACAGGUGCUGCAUGGCUGUCGUCAGCUCGUGUCGUGAGAUGUUCGGUUAAGUCCGCUAACGAGCGCAACCCUCACUGUGUGUUAUAUGUGUCACACGGGACCGCCGGUCUUAAGCCGGAGGAAGGUGGGAUGACGUCAAGUCAGCAUGGCCUUUAUAUCCUGGGCUACACACACGCUACAAUGGCCAACACAAUAGGUUGCUAAGCCGCGAGGUGGAGCCAAUCCAUAAAGUUGGUCUCAGUUCAGAUUGUAGGCUGCAACCCGCCUGCAUGAAGAUGGAGUUGCUAGUAACCGCAGGUCAGCAAUACUGCGGUGAAUACGUUCCCGGGUCUU